GACGAACGCUGGCGGCGUGCUUAACACAUGCAAGUCGAACGGUGAAGCUCCAGCUUUCUGGAGUGGAUCAGUGGCGAACGGGUGAGUAACACGUGAGCAACCUGCCCCUGACUCUGGAAUAAGCGCUGGAAACGGCGUCUAAUACUGGAUACGAGAAGUGUCCGCAUGGGCACUUUCUGGAAUGUUUUUCGGUUGGGGAUGGGCUCGCGGGCUAUCAGCUUGUUGGUGAGGUAAUGGCUCACCAAGGCGACGACGGGUAGCCGGCCUGAGAGGGCGACCGGCCACACUGGGACUGAGACACGGCCCAGACUGCUACGGGAGGCAGCAGUGGGGAAUAUUGCACAAUGGGCGAAAGCCUGAUGCAGCGACGCCGCGUGAGGGAUGACGGCCUUCGGGUUGUAAACCUCUUUCAGAAGGGAAGAAGAGAAAGUGACGGUACCUGCAGAAGAAGCACCGGCUAACUACGUG
RNAcentral lists this ribosomal RNA (468 nucleotides) under uncultured bacterium. RNAcentral's name for it is "partial 16S ribosomal RNA". It matches the Rfam family "Bacterial small subunit ribosomal RNA", at positions 28 to 507 of the family's 1533-position model. The record is from RNAcentral.